This 383-nucleotide long non-coding RNA is filed under the name Pan troglodytes (chimpanzee). Its description in RNAcentral is "long non-coding RNA NONPTRT002667". Lineage: Eukaryota; Metazoa; Chordata; Mammalia; Primates; Hominidae. The record is from RNAcentral.
UGGGGAAGGAACGACAUUCCACUCUCGUGUGAGGUGAGGAAGCAGGCAGUGGGCGAGAAGAUGGAUUCCUUUUUGGACAGACAAGACCAGAGAGUGAAGCGGGAAUAACUCAUCCUCCCUACCUCCCCAGCAAGGAAACCUCUACAAACAGGAGCAGCCAAGCAGGACUGAGGCCCUCGCCCCCCAAGCAUCUUCUCAAAGAAGGGCAUGUGGGGGCCUGACAGCUCAGCUGCAUGUGUCAGCAGCUCCAGCCCCACCAUGAACAUCUGAACUCCUCAGCGGGGUAAUGGACCCCCUCCUUUCCCCCAGAGACGCAGCCUGAGUGGCAGGAAUACAGAGCCUUUGGAGAGUGGCUCCCUCUCAGCUCCGUCAUGCAAGAACAC